Molecule: ribosomal RNA, 253 nt
Filed under: uncultured bacterium
Lineage: Bacteria
Description: partial 16S ribosomal RNA
Rfam family: Bacterial small subunit ribosomal RNA
Source: RNAcentral
UACGUAGGGUGCGAGCGUUAAUCGGAAUUACUGGGCGUAAAGCGUGCGCAGGCGGUUUUGUAAGCCAGAUGUGAAAUCCCCGGGCUUAACCUGGGAAUGGCAUUUGGGACUGCAAGGCUCGAGUGCGGCAGAGGAGACUGGAAUUCCUGGUGUAGCGGUGAAAUGCGCAGAUAUCAGGAAGAACACCAAUGGCGAAAGCAGCUCUCUGGGGCGGUACUGACGCUGAGACGCGAAAGCGUGGGGAGCGAACAGG